This 30-nucleotide non-coding RNA is filed under the name Mus musculus (house mouse). Lineage: Eukaryota; Metazoa; Chordata; Mammalia; Rodentia; Muridae. The record is from RNAcentral.
UACUAGAGACUCCUCAGUCAGCUUGUAUGC